ACGCGCUCCAUGCAGUCGAGCGGUAGCACAGAGAGCUUGCUCUCGGGUGACGAGCGGCGGACGGGUGAGUAAUGUCUGGGAAACUGCCUGAUGGAGGGGGAUAACUACUGGAAACGGUAGCUAAUACCGCAUAACGUCGCAAGACCAAAGUGGGGGACCUUCGGGCCUCAUGCCAUCAGAUGUGCCCAGAUGGGAUUAGCUAGUAGGUGGGGUAACGGCUCACCUAGGCGACGAUCCCUAGCUGGUCUGAGAGGAUGACCAGCCACACUGGAACUGAGACACGGUCCAGACUCCUACGGGAGGCAGCAGUGGGGAAUAUUGCACAAUGGGCGCAAGCCUGAUGCAGCCAUGCCGCGUGUGUGAAGAAGGCCUUCGGGUUGUAAAGCACUUUCAGCGGGGAGGAAGGCGAUAAGGUUAAUAACCUUGUCGAUUGACGUUACCCGCAGAAGAAGCACCGGCUAACUCCGUGCCAGCAGCCGCGGUAAUACGGAGGGUGCAAGCGUUAAUCGGAAUUACUGGGCGUAAAGCGCACGCAGGCGGUCUGUCAAGUCGGAUGUGAAAUCCCCGGGCUCAACCUGGGAACUGCAUUCGAAACUGGCAGGCUAGAGUCUUGUAGAGGGGGGUAGAAUUCCAGGUGUAGCGGUGAAAUGCGUAGAGAUCUGGAGGAAUACCGGUGGCGAAGGCGGCCCCCUGGACAAAGACUGACGCUCAGGUGCGAAAGCGUGGGGAGCAAACAGGAUUAGAUACCCUGGUAGUCCACGCCGUAAACGAUGUCGAUUUGGAGGUUGUGCCCUUGAGGCGUGGCUUCCGGAGCUAACGCGUUAAAUCGACCGCCUGGGGAGUACGGCCGCAAGGUUAAAACUCAAAUGAAUUGACGGGGCCCGCACAAGCGGUGGAGCAUGUGGUUUAAUUCGAUGCAACGCGAAGAACCUUACCUGGUCUUGACAUCCACAGAACUUUCCAGAGAUGGAUUGGUGCCUUCGGGAACUGUGAGACAGGUGCUGCAUGGCUGUCGUCAGCUCGUGUUGUGAAAUGUUGGGUUAAGUCCCGCAACGAGCGCAACCCUUAUCCUUUGUUGCCAGCGGUUCGGCCGGGAACUCAAAGGAGACUGCCAGUGAUAAACUGGAGGAAGGUGGGGAUGACGUCAAGUCAUCAUGGCCCUUACGACCAGGGCUACACACGUGCUACAAUGGCAUAUACAAAGAGAAGCGACCUCGCGAGAGCAAGCGGACCUCAUAAAGUAUGUCGUAGUCCGGAUUGGAGUCUGCAACUCGACUCCAUGAAGUCGGAAUCGCUAGUAAUCGUAGAUCAGAAUGCUACGGUGAAUACGUUCCCGGGCCUUGUACACACCGCCCGUCACACCAUGGGAGUGGGUUGCAAAAGAAGUAGGUAGCUAACCUCGGGAGGGCGCUACACUAUAGC
Molecule: ribosomal RNA, 1422 nt
Filed under: Klebsiella pneumoniae
Lineage: Bacteria; Pseudomonadati; Pseudomonadota; Gammaproteobacteria; Enterobacterales; Enterobacteriaceae
Description: bacterial SSU rRNA
Rfam family: Bacterial small subunit ribosomal RNA
Source: RNAcentral